CUCCUACUACAUGAAUGGAAGGGACUACAUCAUAAGUGGAAGCUGCGAUGAAAAUGUUGUCCGUGUCUGCUGUGCUCAGACUGGAAGGCGAGUUAAGGACGUUUACUUAGAGGAUAGUGACUCUGGAAAUUCCCUGUUUGUGCAGUCCUUAAGGGGCGAUCCUUUUAGACUAUUUCACAUGAGUGUUCUUGCUGCCUCUAAGCGACCAAGCUCCAAAUGUGAGAUCAUCAAGGUCAAUUUACUUGCUCCCAGUCGCUCUGCCAAAGGAUAUUCUUAUGGUCGACACAUCCAUUCUUCCUUUAAUAUGGGAGGUUGAUAUUGGUAUCUUUUUGCUUUCCUUUCCAUCAUAAUACAUAUAUAUGAGUUACUGUGUAAUUUGUACCAAUAUGAGAAUUGAAAGUGUCAUGUUUUGUUAUGCAAGUUCUGGGGAAGAAUUACAGCACAAGUCAAGGCCUCAGCUCUUAAUGGCGGAGCUGAGCUUCUUUGUCACUUAUGUCAACUCUCAGCAGCUUGAAUCUGUAUAGAUUUACAUCUUUGGAAAUAUUGGUCUGUUGUAAUUAAAACUAACUUUUCAUGCUUGGAUAUAAUAGAUUCAUUCAAUCGAAAAUUUAAAACUAGGAAAACUAAUUCAAGGCUUGACAUUGUUUGUUACUAAUGAA
Molecule: unclassified non-coding RNA, 659 nt
Filed under: Hevea brasiliensis (rubber tree)
Lineage: Eukaryota; Viridiplantae; Streptophyta; Magnoliopsida; Malpighiales; Euphorbiaceae
Source: RNAcentral